This is a long non-coding RNA of Corticium candelabrum, 433 nucleotides long. RefSeq lists it as uncharacterized. The transcript is spliced from 2 exons. The record is from RefSeq and is a predicted model, not a curated record. Lineage: Eukaryota; Metazoa; Porifera; Homoscleromorpha; Homosclerophorida; Plakinidae.
UUCCGUCGGUUGUGUGUGCCAGUUGCUUCGACGCAGCUCAUUAUAUAGAGGUAGGGGCGUAGCUAACACGUGAUUCGUGGACUGGCAUCUAGGAUGAUGUAACCUUCUAAAAAUAUCUCAUGGACCACCUUCGCCUCGACCCUGUAAUCUGAAGAGAAGCCGAAUUGCAGCGGUUUAGCCCCUCAUCAAUCGACCUCGCUCUGUUCGCAGAAAUUGCUUGUAGAUCUUGCCCUAUGACCUCUGACACACGGUUGAUCGGAUGACCUGUAUUGUAUUCUGCUAUCAACAACGCGGUAACUCCCAUGGAGCUCCGACAACAUUGCCAGCUGCAGACCGACAAGUGUCUAGAUAGACUAGUACUGUAGAGUUCUUGCUUGCAAAUUGUCAACUAUAUUUACACACUAUGCUAAAUAAAGUCUGGACAGUUUCUGUA